AUGAUACAUUUUCUGUGAACAUAAAAACUCUUUGCUGAACCAAGGCUUAACCUGUGCAUGCACUAUCUCUGUACUCUGUACUCUGUACUCCUGACUAGAGCUUGCUCUAGAUGGGUUAACUCAUACCUGUUAAGCCUGGUUAUAAAACAUACAGAAAAACAUAGACAUAGAUACAUAUCCAGAUCAUGUACAACACAUACAUCACUAAGUCAAGCACAACUCUAACGUUAUACACAACUAUAACAUCUCUUUACAAGUUACAUGUCCACUCUAUACGAUUACAAGCUCUUUUACUCUUUCUCUUUCUGUACUCUGCUGGACUGUCCCUGUACACUGUACACUGAACCUGCAAAACUGGGGUUAAGGGAGUGGGAUGAGCUCUAUAGCCCAGUGAGUAGAACAGUAAAAUAUCUCAGUAAAACAUGAUCUCAUGAAAUGUGUCAUAACACAAACAAGCCACAUCAAGAGUAAACCUGUCA
This 479-nucleotide long non-coding RNA is filed under the name Manihot esculenta (cassava). RNAcentral's name for it is "long non-coding RNA (MESC_LNC011460)". Lineage: Eukaryota; Viridiplantae; Streptophyta; Magnoliopsida; Malpighiales; Euphorbiaceae. The record is from RNAcentral.